Molecule: long non-coding RNA, 306 nt
Organism: Haliotis rubra (blacklip abalone)
Lineage: Eukaryota; Metazoa; Mollusca; Gastropoda; Lepetellida; Haliotidae
Exons: 3
Source: RefSeq, a predicted model, not a curated record
UUGUAUCUAUUUUUCAUGAAGAACCAAACUUGUAUUUCCGACAUCGGAACAUUACAAUCAGUGAUGCUCAGGUGGCAAGUGACUUCAAGGACCUAAAACAAGUCCUCCAAAGAACGGCCUAUAAGUCUAGUCUCAUCCUUGGACCUGACAUAGCCGGUUAUAAAGACAAGUUCAUUAAAAACUUCCUGUCCUUGGGUGGAGCCAGUGUCAUAGACGUCUUGACCAUCCAUCAUUACUACUUUGAUGGACACACCGCCAAACUCGAAGACUUUUCUGACUAUACAAUAAUGGACCGUAUUAUACCUG